This 233-nucleotide ribosomal RNA is filed under the name uncultured bacterium. RNAcentral describes it as "partial 16S ribosomal RNA". It matches the Rfam family "Bacterial small subunit ribosomal RNA", at positions 15 to 257 of the family's 1533-position model. The record is from RNAcentral.
GAUCCUGGCUCAGGAUGAACGCUGGCGGCGUGCCUAACACAUGCAAGUCGAGCGAUUCUCUUCGGAGAAGAGCGGCGGACGGGUGAGUAACGCGUGGGUAACCUGCCUCAUACACAUGGAUAACAUACCGAAAGGUAUGCUAAUACAAGAUAAUAUAAGAGAUUCGCAUGGAUUUCUUAUCAAAGCUCCGGCGGUAUGAGAUGGACCCGCGUCUGAUUAGCUAGUUGGUAAGG